ACACGGGAAAGUGCUACACGGCUUGCUCCCUUCGAAUUCCCCCAGGGCUUGACCGCAGCAAGGGUGGUUGGUUGUAGCAGCGCGAUGUAGUGAGCUUUCCCUC
This 103-nucleotide signal recognition particle RNA is filed under the name uncultured Alloprevotella sp. Its description in RNAcentral is "Bacteroidales small SRP". It matches the Rfam family "Bacteroidales small SRP". Rfam says of the family: The non-coding component of the signal recognition particle in Bacteroides Lineage: Bacteria; Pseudomonadati; Bacteroidota; Bacteroidia; Bacteroidales; Prevotellaceae. The record is from RNAcentral.